GUUUAUAUAGUUUAAAAAAAACAUUACAUUUUCAUUGUAAAAACAAAAUCCAUCUUUUUUAUAAAUU
RNAcentral lists this transfer RNA (67 nucleotides) under Bactrocera sp. 'yunnanensis'. Its description in RNAcentral is "tRNA-Glu". It matches the Rfam family "tRNA". Rfam says of the family: Transfer RNA (tRNA) molecules are approximately 80 nucleotides in length. Their secondary structure includes four short double-helical elements and three loops (D, anti-codon, and T loops). Further hydrogen bonds mediate the characteristic L-shaped molecular structure. tRNAs have two regions of fundamental functional importance: the anti-codon, which is responsible for specific mRNA codon recognition, and the 3' end, to which the tRNAs corresponding amino acid is attached (by aminoacyl-tRNA synthetases). tRNAs cope with the degeneracy of the genetic code in two manners: having more than one tRNA (with a specific anti-codon) for a particular amino acid; and 'wobble' base-pairing, i.e. permitting non-standard base-pairing at the 3rd anti-codon position. Lineage: Eukaryota; Metazoa; Arthropoda; Insecta; Diptera; Tephritidae. The record is from RNAcentral.